Molecule: non-coding RNA, 93 nt
Organism: Asterophora parasitica
Lineage: Eukaryota; Fungi; Basidiomycota; Agaricomycetes; Agaricales; Lyophyllaceae
Source: the annotation of a GenBank genome assembly
GGGGGCAUAGCUCAGUUGGGAGAGCAGCAGACUGAAGUCCUGGUCAAUUCCAGGGUAUUCUGAAGGUCCCGCGUUCAAUCCGCGGUGCCCCCA